This 760-nucleotide ribosomal RNA is filed under the name uncultured bacterium. RNAcentral describes it as "bacterial SSU rRNA". It matches the Rfam family "Bacterial small subunit ribosomal RNA", at positions 68 to 839 of the family's 1533-position model. The record is from RNAcentral.
AGGAUCCGAUACUCGUAUUGGAAGCUCCUAGUGGCGAACGGGUGAGUAACGCGUUGGUAAUCUGCCCCAAAGAGAGGGACAACAUUUCGAAAGAAAUGCUAAUACCUCAUGUGAUCAUAUUGAUUAGAUGCUUUAUGAUUAAAGGAGCAAUCCGCUUUGGGAGGAGCCUGCGUCCCAUCAGCUAGUUGGUAAGGUAAUGGCUUACCAAGGCGAUGACGGGUAGGGGACCUGAGAGGGUGGUCCCCCACACUGGUACUGAAACACGGACCAGACACCUACGGGUGGCAGCAGUAGGGAAUAUUGCACAAUGGGCGAAAGCCUGAUGCAGCAACACCGCGUGCACGAUGAAGGCCCUCGGGUCGUAAAGUGCUUUUAUGAGGGAAGAGGAAGGACGGUACCUCAUGAAUAAGGAUCGGCUAACUACGUGCCAGCAGCCGCGGUAACACGUAGGAUUCGAACGUUAUCCGGAUUUACUGGGCGUAAAGCGUGUGUAGGCGGUUUGAUAAGUUGGAUGUGAAAGCUCCGGGCUCAACCCGGAGACGUCGUUCAAAACUAUCAGACUAGAGGACGAUAGAGGAAGGUGGAAUUCCGGGUGUAGUGGUGAAAUGCGUAGAUAUCCGGAGGAACACCAGUGGCGAAGGCGGCCUUCUGGGUCGUUCCUGACGCUCAGACACGAAAGCAUGGGUAGCGAACGGGAUUAGAAACCCCGGUAGUCCAUGCCGUAAACGAUGUAGACUUGGUGUCGGUGGCGUAAAAACUG